CGUACACUCCUGCGGGAGGCAGCAGUAGGGAAUCUUCCACAAUGGGUGCAAACCUGAUGGAGCAAUGCCGCGUGAGUGAAGAAGGUCUUCGGAUCGUAAAGCUCUGUUGUUAGAGAAGAACACGUGCUAGGUAACUACUAGCGCCUUGACGGUAUCUAACCAGAAAGUCACGGCUAACUACGUGCCAGCAGCCGCGGUAAUACGUAGGUGACAAGCGUUGUCCGGAUUUAUUGGGCGUAAAGGGAGCGCAGGCGGUCUGUUUAGUCUAAUGUGAAAGCCCACGGCUUAACCGUGGAACGGCAUUGGAAACUAACAGACUUGAAUGUAGAAGAGGAAAAUGGAAUUCCAAGUGUAGCGGUGGAAUGCGUAGAUAUUUGGAGGAACACCAGUGGCGAAGGCGAUUUUCUGGUCUAACAUUGACGCUGAGGCUCGAAAGCGUGGGGAGCGAACAGGAUUAGAUACCCGGGUAGUCC
Molecule: ribosomal RNA, 473 nt
Filed under: uncultured organism
Description: partial 16S ribosomal RNA
Rfam family: Bacterial small subunit ribosomal RNA
Source: RNAcentral